Molecule: non-coding RNA, 857 nt
Organism: Chlorocebus sabaeus (green monkey)
Lineage: Eukaryota; Metazoa; Chordata; Mammalia; Primates; Cercopithecidae
Source: RefSeq, a predicted model, not a curated record
GGUCGCACAAGGCCGAGCUGGAGCACUCGUGGAGUUGGCAGGAAAGGCACGGCUGCGUGCGCCCCCUGUCCGCACGGAGGAACCAAAGUCCCGCAGGGUGGGGUCCCCGCCUGCGCGGAGAUGGCCACCCGGCCGAGAGAACAGGCGAGGCGGAAACCUGAGAAACUCCUGUCUGGUGCACCUAACCCUCUCCCUCGUAAAGUGCACACGAACUCUGGUUUUUACGUUGCAAAUUUUGCUUUCUACACAGACCAUACCACUCGUUGUUCUCUGAGGAUGAGCUCCUGGCUUCCCAAUCCAGCAGAAGUAUCUACAUCUAUUUCUGGAAAGGACCUGAACUUGGCUUCUCGUCCCUCUGGAAAGUGAGGCGAAAAUGCCAGGCUGCGCAGCUACCCUGAGGCCCGGCCUGGUACCUGGCUAGCCACCCAGUCCUGAUACGUCAUCUCCUUUCUGUUGGAUAAAGUCAUUGGAUAAGAUCCCCCAGGGUCUUCUUAACACUGAACAUCUGUUCAUAAUCACAUAAGUGACCAAAUAUAGUGGAAAACCCGAAUGGUCAACUGGGCUGAGCAAUGGGAGAGAGCGCAGGAUGAGCUCACCUACACCUGAGCAAGAAGCCGGGGAUAAUACAUGGAAAUCAUUGAGAUGGAUUUUGAUACAGGGCAGAAGGAAAAGUAAAAUAAUCUCAUACUACUUUCCACCUGAAGUUCUGAGCCAAAAGAGUUAUUUGCUCAAACACUUCAAACUGGGGAGGGACAGAGCUCUGAUGCCUCCCUUCAGGCCUGUUUUUGUUGUUGUAGUUGUUGUUUUUUGUGUGUUUGUUUUUGAGACGGAGUUUCCCUCUUGUUGCCCAGACUGGA